CGGGACGUAGCUCAGCCCGGUAGAGCACUUGGUUUGGGGCCAAGACGUCGCAGGUUCAAAUCCUGUCGUCCCGACCA
Molecule: transfer RNA, 77 nt
Filed under: Pedosphaera sp.
Lineage: Bacteria; Pseudomonadati; Verrucomicrobiota; Pedosphaerae; Pedosphaerales; Pedosphaeraceae
Also listed under: 1 other name
Description: tRNA-Pro
Rfam family: tRNA
About the family: Transfer RNA (tRNA) molecules are approximately 80 nucleotides in length. Their secondary structure includes four short double-helical elements and three loops (D, anti-codon, and T loops).
Source: RNAcentral